UGCAAGUCGAACGCGAACGGAAUCUUCGGAUUCCAAGUAGAGUGGCGCACGGGUGAGUAACACGUGGAUAACCUGCCCUAGAGUCUGGGAUAACACUUCGAAAGAGGUGCUAAUACCGGAUAAGCCCACGCCUUCUUCGGAAGAAGUGGGAAAAGAUUUAUUGCUCUAGGAUGGGUCCGCGGUCCAUUAGCUAGUUGGUGGGGUAAUGGCCUACCAAGGCUGCGAUGGAUAGCUGGUCUGAGAGGAUGAUCAGCCACACUGGAACUGAGACACGGUCCAGACUCCUACGGGAGGCAGCAGUGGGGAAUUUUGCGCAAUGGGGGAAACCCUGACGCAGCAAUACCGCGUGAAGGAUGAAGGCCUUUGGGUCGUAAACUUCUGUCAGAGGGGAAGAAAUACUCGCAAGAGUGCUGACGGUACCCUCAAAGGAAGCACCGGCUAACUCCGUGCCAGCAGCCGCGGUAAUACGGAGGGUGCAAGCGUUGUUCGGAAUUAUUGGGCGUAAAG
RNAcentral lists this ribosomal RNA (507 nucleotides) under Desulfuromonadaceae bacterium enrichment culture clone MS_ANT_O5. RNAcentral describes it as "bacterial SSU rRNA". It matches the Rfam family "Bacterial small subunit ribosomal RNA", at positions 56 to 565 of the family's 1533-position model. The record is from RNAcentral. Lineage: Bacteria; Pseudomonadati; Thermodesulfobacteriota; Desulfuromonadia; Desulfuromonadales; Desulfuromonadaceae.